GAUGAACGCUGGCGGCGUGCCUAAUACAUGCAAGUCGAGCGAAUGGAUUAAGAGCUUGCUCUUAUGAAGUUAGCGGCGGACGGGUGAGUAACACGUGGGUAACCUGCCCAUAAGACUGGGAUAACUCCGGGAAACCGGGGCUAAUACCGGAUAACAUUUUGAACCGCAUAGUUCGAAAUUGAAAGGCGGCUUCGGCUGUCACUUAUGGAUGGACCCGCGUCGCAUUAGCUAGUUGGUGAGGUAACGGCUCACCAAGGCAACGAUGCGUAGCCGACCUGAGAGGGGGAUCGGCCACACUGGGACUGAGAGAAGGACCAGACUACUACGGGAGGCAGCAGUAGGGAAUCUUCCGCAAUGGACGAAAGUCUGACGGAGCAACGCCGCGUGAGUGAUGAAGGCUUUCGGGUCGUAAAACUCUGUUGUUAGGGAAGAACAAGUGCUAGUUGAAUAAGCUGGCACCUUGACGGUACCUAACCAGAAAGCCACGGCUAACUACGUGCCAGCAGCCGCGGUAA
This 515-nucleotide ribosomal RNA is filed under the name uncultured bacterium. RNAcentral's name for it is "partial 16S ribosomal RNA". It matches the Rfam family "Bacterial small subunit ribosomal RNA", at positions 28 to 523 of the family's 1533-position model. The record is from RNAcentral.